Molecule: long non-coding RNA, 1379 nt
Organism: Octopus bimaculoides (California two-spot octopus)
Lineage: Eukaryota; Metazoa; Mollusca; Cephalopoda; Octopoda; Octopodidae
Source: RefSeq, a predicted model, not a curated record
UGGUAGUGAGGAAGAUUAUUGGAAUUGAAAUAAGAUUAUGAUGUUGAUGAAUGAUGAAUGAUGAGUGAUGAAUGAUGAUGGCCGUUGCUGAUCUUGAUGAUGGUGAGGCUUGAUGUAUGAGUGAGAGUGCCUGAGAAGGAUGCUGAUAGAAGGAGAAAGAUAAAAACGGUCGAGAGGACAUGACAAAAGAAGAAGAAGAAGAAGAAGAAGAAGAAGAAGAAGAAGAAGAAGAAGAAGAAGAAGAAGAAGAAGAAGAAACAAGAAUAACUUUUCUUUCACAUUAAAAUUCUAAGGGGACGGAAACAAGUGACAACAACAACAACAACAAUAACAAUAAUAAUAUUAAUAAUAAUAUCAACAACAACAACAAUAAUAAUAGUGAUGGUUUCAAAUUUUGGCACAAGGCCAGCAAUUUUAGGGAAUUGGUAAGUCGAUUACAUUGACCCUAGUGUGCAGCUGGUACUUAUUUUACCGCCACCCCCCAAAGGGAAGGGAUGGAAUAAUAGUUUCUAGGAUAGGUCCAAGGCUUGGCUUGUUAUUCAAUUGCAUUGUGUUUUAAGACCUGUUGUAAUAGUUUAAAUUCUGUCGACAUUUCAAGGGAGUCGGGGGUGGAGGGGUGGAGUGGAGGGACGAAGAGUUGAUCUCGACUGGGUUUGAACACAGAACAUAAGAAAACAAACGACCCCCCUCCCAGAAAUAAAUAAAUAAAUAAAUAAAUAAACAAAUAACCGAUUCAAAAAAAGUAAAAUUGAAAGGAGAAAGAGAGAGAUACAGAGAGAGAGAGAGAGAGAGAGAGAGAGAGAGAGAGAGAGAGAGAGAGAGCGGGGAAUGACGGAGGAAAGAAGAAACAAAUGAAAAUCAUGAUAAAUACAAGACCAACCACUACUACUACAACUACUACUACUACUACUACUACUACUACUACUACUACUACUAAGACUAAUAUUUCUGGUGCUGCUGUUAUUGCUCUCUGGAGUUAUCAUCCCAUCGAAAAAACAAAAAAGAAACAAAAAAAAAACAACGAAAGAAGGAAAAGGAAAAUUCUCCUACCGUUAUGCCAAUUCGAACAUGCGUACCACUGGAUUACAUUUGAUGCAAACCGGUUUAUCAAUCAUUUUAUCUCGUCAGCACGAAACUUCCGUGUUUAACUACUUCUAUUGCCUUGCUAGUGGAAAUCAGAGCUUUAUCUCAUUCGCUGUUGCUCGACAUGAUGUCUCAGCGCGUAACGCACAAACAAGCUUCUCUCCUGUUGACCUCAAACUUAAAAUGGACACCACCAGGAGCUCAAAUCGUAUUCUUUGCCGAACAAUGACACCCAUAACCUGUGUAAGAUAUUAUAUAUUUUGUUUAUCUUAAUAACAUUAAAGUUUUCCAACACA